AGGGAUUACUAUCAGGUUUUUUAAAGGUUCUAAUUCCUCUUAUACCCUCACUUCUUUCCUAAUUUCCCCCUCCCCCCUGAAGUUUUGACCUUAGUCAGUUCCUUGACCCCAGUUUAGUUAAAAUUGACCCUGGUCAAUCAACUUGGGUCACCUUUUAAUCUUAGACUAAUAGGCUCAUGAAAGUUCAGAAUUAGCCAAAAUUAUCAAGGUUCAACACAGAUGCCUUAAUAUAGACUUCCACAUCCAAACAUUAUACAGAACUAUCAAAACAAAGGGCUAGAAGAAUGAAUAUAUUUAUCAACAUUUAAUUUUCAGAAGUGGCUCAAUCAAAAUGCUUUAGAAAUACGAAGAAUGAAUACAUUUAUCAACACUUAAUUUUCAAAAAUGACUCAAUCAAAUUGCUUCAGAAAUACUUAAAAACGAGAAGCACACAUCAAGGGGUGAGUAUUUAGUUCAAGAAUCGACUUAGGAAGCAAGUAAAGGCUACCACUGAACAAUUAAAGACUCAACCCAACAGGUCAACUUAAACCAGUAUCAAUACUAAAAAUCAUAAUUAUGAUGGCAAUCAGAUACUUAGGGGCAAACCAGAAAUCAUAGAAUGAAACAACUGAAGAAUCAUAAGAUGGAUGUCAAUUAACCCACAAAAUAACCAUACUGAAGAAAGAAUUAAGCUUUCAAGAUCAAGGAGCUGAUAUUAACAGGAUAUACAAUUAUUCAAAAGAUGAAGAGAUUUCCAGACUAGUGACAAAACAAAGGCGUAUUGAAACCUAUUUCAAAUGAAAUUGCGGACAAACAGAUAAACAACCAAGAGAAAUCAAACGAAGGGACUUCAAACUAUUAGGCAUGUAACUACUGAACCUAAACAAGUACUAAAAGAAAUCAAACAUUUAACAGCUAAAGAAAUGAAAAUAUACAGAAAAACUUAGCUUUUUCAUGCAUGUCCGUUUAGACUCUUUCAUCAGCUCUUGACCCCUUUCACGGGGUUUCGAACCUCCUAGGACGGUGUACAACCAAUUUUAAGUGUUCAGGAGGGGCUUUCACAGUUCAGUGGAUUUGUCGAACCUCCUAGGACAGUGUACAACCAAUUUUAAGGGUUCAGGAGGGGGUUUCACAGUUCUGAGACCUUAGUGUGGUUUCAGAUUUGGAUUUCAUUGGUGGUUGAGGAUGUUUGGGAGUCAUGGGUGAUAUGGUUGAGGACAGGAGGGACCAGGGAUUGUCCAGGCGUAUUUUGAGCCAUUUCUGACGUGUUUUGUGUUUUAGGGUUAGGCUUCGAAUUGAUAUUCGAAGAGUUUCAGGAAUAUUCGAGAGGGGUAACAUACAUGGUUGGAAAGAGGAGAUUGAGGUGCUUUAGGGGUGUAAGUAUGGGGAGCUUUGGAACAGGGUCGCCGGAGAUAGGGUUUCCGACGACUUUUCAGGGAAUAUUGGAGAUGAUGGGGGGAUUCGAAGGGAUUGGGAUGCAGAACGAGGAAAGGGGUGCCCUAGUGGUUCUGUGGUGUUAUACUGGAAGGGUUUGGAAUAAGUUCGCCGGAGACGGUGGUUCCGACGACCCUGUUUUUCUGAUAUUCGAUACGUAGGGGGCAUGUUCGGCGGAAACUGACAACCAAACGGGAUAGGGGAGGUUGUGAUGGUUUAGUGGUGUUAAUCUGGGGUGGUUUGGUUGCCGGCCUCCAUCGUGAGGAGAUUUCCGGCGGAGGCAGUAGGGUGGUAGGCUGGUGGUCAAAGGGCGGUCAUGGGAUGGUCAAUAGGUGUUGUUAGGUCAGAGAAGACGGUACGAGGAGAGGAGUG
Molecule: long non-coding RNA, 1785 nt
Filed under: Nicotiana benthamiana
Lineage: Eukaryota; Viridiplantae; Streptophyta; Magnoliopsida; Solanales; Solanaceae
Description: long non-coding RNA (NBEN_LNC038709)
Source: RNAcentral